GUGUAAAGGCACAAGGGAGCUUGACUGCGAGACCUACAAGUCGAGCAGGGACGAAAGUCGGGCUUAGUGAUCCGGUGGUUCCGCAUGGAAGGGCCAUCGCUCAACGGAUAAAAGCUACCCCGGGGAUAACAGGCUUAUCUCCCCCAAGAGUCCACAUCGACGGGGAGGUUUGGCACCUCGAUGUCGGCUCAUCGCAUCCUGGGGCUGUAGUCGGUCCCAAGGGUUGGGCUGUUAGCCCAUUAAAGCGGUACGCGAGC
Molecule: ribosomal RNA, 257 nt
Filed under: Bacillus velezensis
Lineage: Bacteria; Bacillati; Bacillota; Bacilli; Caryophanales; Bacillaceae
Description: partial 23S ribosomal RNA
Rfam family: Bacterial large subunit ribosomal RNA
Source: RNAcentral